UGCCAAAUUGAAUGUUACUGCUGAAUGGAUUUUGCAUCUGCUGAACCUGAUUUUUGCUGAAUUUCUGUCCUAACCAGAAAAAGUCAGAAAUCUUACAAGAGAGUCUGCUCCCACAGACAGAUUUCUAAAUCUGUAUCAGGAGUGCUGUCUUUUCUGCUUGUUGAUGUAGUGCCUAAGUGUAAUGGGCACUGCUCUUUGACUGGUGUUUUUUGAAUGCUACAGUAGUACAAAUAAUAGUAGUGGAAUAAGGACAAGUAAAAAAAAAGUGUGUUACGAGAUGACAGAGAAUAUAGGAGUAAACUAAGAAGGAAAGGAGAAAUUAGGAAAAUCAGAAGAGAAGAAUUCAGUCCAUAGGCAUCUCUAAGCUUGACCGACCCAUGAAGAGAUCUCCACUCCAUUUGUGGGUAUCGCGCCCUAUACCUGCUGUGAACCACUGCUGGGACUACACAUUCAAGAAGAUGAUGCAGUUAGAACUGUGUUUCAUCAGAAGCUGAGUGUUUUGAGAUGUGAGUACUCUCUUUUCAUUUGCUUACCCAGAAGAGGAAGGUAUGACCCACUGAUUUUAAUGGAAGUUAAGGGCAACAGGAGAGCCCAAUAUCAUGAGGUACAGUGCAGGGAGGAGAGGAACCUCCACGGGGCUUCUCCUCCAUACAACUGGUCAGGGAGUAGGUGUGCAAGGAUGAGAAGUAUGUGUAGCCUUGUCUCCACUCGCCCAAUGCAUGGACCACAUGGCUGAGCUGGCAAAGAGAGGGAAAUAUUAAUAUUGUGCACCAAAUAAAGUCUGGUGCAGAUUACA
Molecule: long non-coding RNA, 796 nt
Filed under: Chrysemys picta bellii (western painted turtle)
Lineage: Eukaryota; Metazoa; Chordata; Testudines; Emydidae
Description: lncRNA (ENSCPBG00000004057.1)
Source: RNAcentral